GGCGGCAUGACUCAGGAGGUAGAGUGGUUGGUCUAGGAAUCAGAAGGUUCCUAGUUCGAUCCUUGGCUCCUUCA
Non-coding RNA from Gymnothorax javanicus (giant moray), 74 nucleotides. NCBI's taxonomy places the organism in Eukaryota, Metazoa, Chordata, Actinopteri, Anguilliformes, Muraenidae. The record is from the annotation of a GenBank genome assembly.